RNAcentral lists this ribosomal RNA (1024 nucleotides) under Bacillus sp. (in: firmicutes). RNAcentral describes it as "bacterial SSU rRNA". It matches the Rfam family "Bacterial small subunit ribosomal RNA", at positions 56 to 1060 of the family's 1533-position model. Lineage: Bacteria; Bacillati; Bacillota; Bacilli; Caryophanales; Bacillaceae. The record is from RNAcentral.
UGCAGUCGAGCGGACAGAAGGGAGCUUGCUCCCGGAUGUUAGCGGCGGACGGGUGAGUAACACGUGGGUAACCUGCCUGUAAGACUGGGAUAACUCCGGGAAACCGGAGCUAAUACCGGAUAGUUCCUUGAACCGCAUGGUUCAAGGAUGAAAGACGGUUUCGGCUGUCACUUACAGAUGGACCCGCGGCGCAUUAGCUAGUUGGUGGGGUAAUGGCUCACCAAGGCGACGAUGCGUAGCCGACCUGAGAGGGUGAUCGGCCACACUGGGACUGAGACACGGCCCAGACUCCUACGGGAGGCAGCAGUAGGGAAUCUUCCGCAAUGGACGAAAGUCUGACGGAGCAACGCCGCGUGAGUGAUGAAGGUUUUCGGAUCGUAAAGCUCUGUUGUUAGGGAAGAACAAGUGCGAGAGUAACUGCUCGCACCUUGACGGUACCUAACCAGAAAGCCACGGCUAACUACGUGCCAGCAGCCGCGGUAAUACGUAGGUGGCAAGCGUUGUCCGGAAUUAUUGGGCGUAAAGGGCUCGCAGGCGGUUUCUUAAGUCUGAUGUGAAAGCCCCCCGGCUCAACCGGGGAGGGUCAUUGGAAACUGGGAAACUUGAGUGCAGAAGAGGAGAGUGGAAUUCCACGUGUAGCGGUGAAAUGCGUAGAGAUGUGGAGGAACACCAGUGGCGAAGGCGACUCUCUGGUCUGUAACUGACGCUGAGGAGCGAAAGCGUGGGGAGCGAACAGGAUUAGAUACCCUGGUAGUCCACGCCGUAAACGAUGAGUGCUAAGUGUUAGGGGGUUUCCGCCCCUUAGUGCUGCAGCUAACGCAUUAAGCACUCCGCCUGGGGAGUACGGUCGCAAGACUGAAACUCAAAGGAAUUGACGGGGGGCCCGCACAAGCGGUGGAGCAUGUGGUUUAAUUCGAAGCAACGCGAAGAACCCUUACCAGGUCUUGACAUCCUCUGACAACCCUAGAGAUAGGGCUUUCCCUUCGGGGACAGAGUGACAGGUGGUGCAUGGUUGUCGUCAGCU